UGUUUGUUAUAUGUUUUUGUCGGAGUUUAUGUUAAUUUGUGCACGGUCACGGUAAUUGAGCUCGUUGUAUUUUCGCAAAAUUAAGUAACCGUCCAAUAGGAAUAACUGAGAUGAAACGUGCAGCCACGAUGAAUACAUAACAAACCUACAAGGUGAUUGAACCUACAGGUGAAUAUAACAAUUAACAAAAAAUUGUUAAAUAAUAAACAAAGGAUUUGUGCACGGUGAAGUACAGUUCAACAUCAAACAAAGGUCUUCUAUUUUGUUGCUUCGAAGUUUGCCGGGAUUCCAGACCAUCGUAUCAUAAUAGA
Molecule: non-coding RNA, 311 nt
Organism: Paramuricea clavata
Lineage: Eukaryota; Metazoa; Cnidaria; Anthozoa; Malacalcyonacea; Plexauridae
Source: the annotation of a GenBank genome assembly